AGAGUUUGAUCAUGGCUCAGAACGAACGCUGGCGGCAUGCCUAACACAUGCAAGUCGAACGAGACCUUCGGGUCUAGUGGCGCACGGGUGCGUAACGCGUGGGAAUCUGCCCUUGGUUCGGAAUAACAGUUAGAAAUGACUGCUAAUACCGGAUAAUGUCUUCGGACCAAAGAUUUAUCGCCCAGGGAUGAGCCCGCGUAGGAUUAGCUAGUUGGUGAGGUAAAGGCUCACCAAGGCGACGAUCCUUAGCUGGUCUGAGAGGAUGAUCAGCCACACUGGGACUGAGACACGGCCCAGACUCCUACGGGAGGCAGCAGUGGGGAAUAUUGGACAAUGGGCGAAAGCCUGAUCCAGCAAUGCCGCGUGAGUGAUGAAGGCCUUAGGGUUGUAAAGCUCUUUUACCCGGGAUGAUAAUGACAGUACCGGGAGAAUAAGCCCCGGCUAACUCCGUG
This 452-nucleotide ribosomal RNA is filed under the name uncultured bacterium. Its description in RNAcentral is "bacterial SSU rRNA". It matches the Rfam family "Bacterial small subunit ribosomal RNA", at positions 8 to 507 of the family's 1533-position model. The record is from RNAcentral.